GCAUUCGUAGCUCAACCAGGAUAGAGCAAGUCUCCCAGGGCAGAUGCAGGUUCGAUCCCUGCCGGGUGCACCA
RNAcentral lists this transfer RNA (73 nucleotides) under Mesorhizobium sp. AR10. Its description in RNAcentral is "tRNA-OTHER". It matches the Rfam family "tRNA". From Rfam's summary of the family: Transfer RNA (tRNA) molecules are approximately 80 nucleotides in length. Their secondary structure includes four short double-helical elements and three loops (D, anti-codon, and T loops). Further hydrogen bonds mediate the characteristic L-shaped molecular structure. tRNAs have two regions of fundamental functional importance: the anti-codon, which is responsible for specific mRNA codon recognition, and the 3' end, to which the tRNAs corresponding amino acid is attached (by aminoacyl-tRNA synthetases). tRNAs cope with the degeneracy of the genetic code in two manners: having more than one tRNA (with a specific anti-codon) for a particular amino acid; and 'wobble' base-pairing, i.e. permitting non-standard base-pairing at the 3rd anti-codon position. The record is from RNAcentral. Lineage: Bacteria; Pseudomonadati; Pseudomonadota; Alphaproteobacteria; Hyphomicrobiales; Phyllobacteriaceae.